UGGGGAAUCUUCCGCAAUGGACGAAAGUCUGACGGAGCAACGCCGCGUGAGUGAUGACGGCCUUCGGGUUGUAAAGCUCUGUUAAUCGGGACGAAAGGCCUUCUUGCGAAUAGUGAGAAGGAUUGACGGUACCGGAAUAGAAAGCCACGGCUAACUACGUGCCAGCAGCCGCGGUAAUACGUAGGUGGCAAGCGUUGUCCGGAAUUAUUGGGCGUAAAGCGCGCGCAGGCGGAUAGGUCAGUCUGUCUUAAAAGUUCGGGGCUUAACCCCGUGAUGGGAUGGAAACUGCCAAUCUAGAGUAUCGGAGAGGAAAGUGGAAUUCCUAGUGUAGCGGUGAAAUGCGUAGAUAUUAGGAAGAACACCAGUGGCGAAGGCGACUUUCUGGACGAAAACUGACGCUGAGGCGCGAAAGCCAGGGGAGCGAACGGGAUUAGAUACCCCGGUAGUCCUGGCCGUAAACGAUGGGUACUAGGUGUAGGAGGUAUCGACCCCUUCUGUGCCGGAGUUAACGCAAUAAGUACCCCGCCUGGGGAGUACGACCGCAAGGUUG
RNAcentral lists this ribosomal RNA (550 nucleotides) under uncultured bacterium. Its description in RNAcentral is "bacterial SSU rRNA". It matches the Rfam family "Bacterial small subunit ribosomal RNA", at positions 355 to 896 of the family's 1533-position model. The record is from RNAcentral.